AGAUUGGUCAGUUGAAAAUUCUCAAUGUCCUAAACUUCAGGUCCAACAACUUAUCUGGAAAAAUACCAUGGCAAAUCAGCAACCUCACAAGCCUGCAAGCGCUAGACCUGUCAAACAACCAGCUCACAGGUGAACUCCCAUCCACAUUGAGUGACCUACACUUCCUUUCUAUAUUCAAUGUGUCUAAUAAUGAACUGGAAGGGCCAAUUCCAACUGGAGCACAAUUCGAUACAUUUACCAAUUCUAGCUACGGUGGGAAUCCUAAUCUGUGUGGCGCUGUACUCAGCGUCCACUGCAUCUCCGCAUCAAGACACCAAUCCUCCAUCUCACGAGAACACAAGUUGCAUCGUGCAAUUAUCUUUGGAUUUGUUUUUGGAGGACUUGCUGCUCUUGCAUUGCUGGCAUGCUUCCUGAUUGCAAAAUUGGUAUAUGAUGAUCACACUGAGAACUUAGUUCUCCUUCAGAGGCGGUAGCUUUACUGACUGUAUGAUGCUUUGAGCAUUGUGAUCUUAUUAACCCUUGUAGUUUCAUUCAAUUGAAUCCUAUAGUCCCAUGUACAAUUAUUAGACCUUUUUCUAGAAACUAGUACUUUUUAAUCAUUGUCUGUACAUUGUCCUUAUUGCCGCCAAUUUUGAUAGUUGAUAUACUGACCAGAAAUAUCUUGUAUUAUAUAUUUAUAAAGUAAACUGAGGUUCUCAAAUCAACUCAGCGUGCACAAAGGGACACCUAAAACAAUUCUCUAGACUAGAUGCCGCAGUGCCAAGCUGCUACUGCAGUAAAGCUAGCAUUAUUAGCACAUAACCUAGCUAGUAAAUGUACAUGUAUCUAUAAAGAUUUGGUGGUUCUUAAGCACUAUUAUUUGUUAAAGAGUACUCUUUGUUAAAUCUUCAGUGUGCGAAUCCACCACAUUACCACAAUCUCCAAAAAAAAAUCAUACAGCAACAAGGGGAUUCAAAAUGCACUCUAGAAUUUAAAAAAAAAAAGACGCAGUUUUACCUCGCAGGCUCGAAGCUUUUGACGUUGCGCACGCGCCGGCGUCGGCAGCAGGACUGCAGGAGCAGCGAACGCCCAGUCGCCGCCAUCGACUGUACCCCGUGGCAUUGAGGGGAACCGCCGCUUCAUUCCAUUCCGCGAUCCUUCGGCACUGCGCGUCGCCGAGUGGAGCCGGUACACGUGCCGUGCGUCUCCAUCCCGGAGCGCAGGCGAGUUGCGGCUCCGCCGGCGGCCG
RNAcentral lists this long non-coding RNA (1228 nucleotides) under Setaria italica (foxtail millet). Its description in RNAcentral is "long non-coding RNA (SITA_LNC003296)". Lineage: Eukaryota; Viridiplantae; Streptophyta; Magnoliopsida; Poales; Poaceae. The record is from RNAcentral.